CUCAAACUUUAGGUCCUCCUGCCUCUGCCAUAGAUAUGCAAAUGCAAUAGCUUUGCAAAACUUCUUGAAAGGAAAAAAAUUAAGCUAAUAACAACUUCCCUCACCCAGAUGAGAAAAGACAAAUCUUGAUUUCCUUUCACUAAAAUUUUCUGUACUGGAUCAGAGGCAA
Perognathus longimembris pacificus (Pacific pocket mouse) is the source of this 169-nucleotide long non-coding RNA. RefSeq lists it as uncharacterized. The record is from RefSeq and is a predicted model, not a curated record. NCBI's taxonomy places the organism in Eukaryota, Metazoa, Chordata, Mammalia, Rodentia, Heteromyidae. The transcript has 3 exons.